GACGAACGCUGGCGGCGUGCUUAACACAUGCAAGUCGAACGGUGAAGCGGGUGCUUGCACUCGUGGAUCAGUGGCGAACGGGUGAGUAACACGUGAGUAACCUGCCCUCCACUCUGGGAUAAGCGCUGGAAACGGCGUCUAAUACUGGAUACGACCGACCCUCGCAUGGGGUGUUGGUGGAAAGAUUUAUCGGUGGUGGAUGGACUCGCGGCCUAUCAGCUUGUUGGUGGGGUAAUGGCCUACCAAGGCGACGACGGGUAGCCGGCCUGAGAGGGCGACCGGCCACACUGGGACUGAGACACGGCCCAGACUCCUACGGGAGGCAGCAGUGGGGAAUAUUGCACAAUGGGCGAAAGCCUGAUGCAGCGACGCCGCGUGAGGGAUGACGGCCUUCGGGUUGUAAACCUCUUUCAGCAGGGAAGAAGCUUUUGUGACGGU
Molecule: ribosomal RNA, 438 nt
Filed under: uncultured bacterium
Lineage: Bacteria
Description: bacterial SSU rRNA
Rfam family: Bacterial small subunit ribosomal RNA
Source: RNAcentral